Molecule: RNA transcript, 1319 nt
Organism: Octodon degus (degu)
Lineage: Eukaryota; Metazoa; Chordata; Mammalia; Rodentia; Octodontidae
Gene name: phosphatidylethanolamine-binding protein 1 pseudogene
Exons: 1
Source: RefSeq, a predicted model, not a curated record
UGCAACUUGCUCCUAACGGCCGCUCCGUGUCGCCAUGCCGGCAGAUGUCAGCAAGUGGACCGGGCCCUUGAGCCUGCAGGAGGUGGAUGAGCAGCCCGAGUACCCACUGCAGGUUGCUUACGGCGGGGUGGAGGUGGACCAGCUGGGCAAGGUGCUGACGCCCACCCAGGUUAAGAACAGACCCACCAGCAUUUCUUGGGAUGGUCAGGAUCCUGAUAAACUCUACACCCUGGUUCUGACGGACCCGGAUGCUCCCAGCCGACAGAAUCCCAAGUUCAGGGAGUGGCACCAUUUUCUGGUGGUCAACAUGAAGGGCAAUGGUAUCAGCAGUGGCACCGUGCUCUCCGACUAUGUGGGCUUCGGGCCUCCCAGUGGCACAGGCCUGCACCGCUAUGUGUGGUUGGUCUACGAGCAGGACAAACCACUCAAAUGCAACGAGCCCAUCCUCAGCAACCGGUCUGGAGACCACCGCGGCAAGUUCAAGGUGGCUGCUUUCCGCAAAAAGUACCAUCUCGGGGCCCCAGUGGCCGGCACAUGUUACCAGGCCGAGUGGGACGACUACGUGCCCAAACUGUACGAGCAGCUGUCUGGGAAGUAGGGGCGACUCCAAGGCCACAUUGUUCUGGAGACCCCAAGCAGUGUUCUUGAUUUCCGUUCAGUGAUGCAUGUAGGUUUCUCCUUUGUCCCACACCUGAGACCUGAGCUGUCCCUAGUGGUGUAGGGUGACUUUUCCUGCUGCCUGUUCUUUUGGGUUCUAGAGAGUCAUACUUCCCAGUUUUUGUUCUGGCCAAAUUUGAGCUCUGUUUUGAGGGAUAUUUUGGUACUGUGGUGGGAUCAACAUGUUAAUAAAAGUAUAGCAGUCCAUGAUUUAAGGAGAAAAAAAGCCAAAUGAAAAGACCAGGUAUACAGAAAGAGAGCAGAUUAUCAAAUAAUCUGUAAGGGAGGCAAAAAAAAGGAUUGGUUGUCACAGCCUUCAUGAGUCCUGAGUCGUGUUUAUCAUGGUGCAGGACAGCAGGAGGCUCCCAUCUUGGGUCAACCAGGAUGGGACGGUACAGCUCUGGCAGCUUAAAAGGUGUGAUAGCUUUCUCUGGGUCCUUUAAAGGGCACAGCUGGAAGCAGAGUUGAGGGGGUGGCUCUUUUCUUGCAGAUGUCUGACCAUCUAGAUUAGCAGGGGGUUGGGGUGACAGGUCAUCAGGAUCCUUAAAUUGUCCUCUGAGUUGGUCACUUGUCAUUGGUCUCAGAAAAGCUGGGCUAGAGUUGCUUACUGUUGUGUUCAUUCUGAUGUUUGCUAAUUGCUCAAUAAAAACGAAAACACUGAA